Molecule: long non-coding RNA, 1661 nt
Organism: Aedes albopictus (Asian tiger mosquito)
Lineage: Eukaryota; Metazoa; Arthropoda; Insecta; Diptera; Culicidae
Exons: 3
Source: RefSeq, a predicted model, not a curated record
UGGAGAAUUCUGUCGAAGCAGUAGCUGUUACAAUUAGCCAAUAACCUCUACGUAGCUCCUAGCAUAAGACUAGAGAUUAAGCAAAUAAAAGUAAACAAAGCUUACGAAAUUUUCGUGAAUGUUAUUCACGAAAAUUUCGUUUAUCGUCGUAUGAAGUUGUAUUACAAUAACUUCAGCCUAAGGCUUAACAUCUGGCAUACAGUCGCAAAAGCGCACAUUCCUAGAACAUCCACUGAACAAGAAAAGCGAAUACAUCUGGCAACACAAAAUGCUUCGCUCUCGAAAAGCUCUCUAAGAGCGCUCAGAUACUUCCACGACAUCUGAAAUCCAUUGUUCCGAUCAUUCUCGUUUGCUGAUUCUUCUGAACGGAGGCAAGAGCCGGAGUCUGUCCACAAAUCGCCGGAAAAUCAUCCUCACCACAAAAAAAAACCCAAAAGGAAAUAUCGUCAGCGUGCACAUCAACGAUCGGAGACGAGAAGAAACAUCACAACUCCAUCGUCGAAGAAACCCGAAAAGGUGUACCGCUUAACUGAGCGAUUCUUCAAUCGGACACGACAGUCUCGGCGAACAGGCUCAUCAGCCCUGUAAAGGAAUACAGCAUCGAGAGGCUAAACGCAAAAUCUGCAACCCGAUCAUCACCCCACCCCGUUCGACAAAAGGCCCUCCAGAGAGGUAUUACAUGGAUGUCACUUUUUCCCUAUUGGAAACCUAACCUAAUAGCACGAUCAUUCUUAUUAGGGCCUUUUUAUUGGACACCUACCACGCUGCCGCAACCGCAAGCGAACGUCGAGGGCCACCACACGACGUCGCCUGUUCCCCACACAAGUGUCCAAGGGAAGCUCAUCGACGCGGAGUAAGAUUAGUGUGCGUAGUAGUGCUGCAGGUGUGUGCACUCGCAGGAGAGAGAAGGACGCCCUCCACUCACACCACACCAUCAUCGACGGACACCACAUCGACGGCGUCGAGUCACAGUGAAGAACGAUCGUCGGUAUUGGAAUAGUCGCGUACGUCCGAGUGUUGAGGCCGAAUUAAGAGCGCGUGUGUCGUACAAACAGCAACAGGGAAAGUGCGGAGUGAUCGCGUGUGUGCAGCCCCAGGCAGUGUCAACAAGCAAGAAAGCUUGUUUGUCGUAGAAGAAGGUGAAUCGUCGGGUGAUUUAAGGGUUGGCGACAUGCAUGUUUGAGAAUGCAGUACUAGAUCGCCAGUGUGAAUCCAAUAGGAAUGUUAUUGUGCCAAAUGUGAAAAUGCACCUACAGUGUGCCAUCGAAUAAGGCGCCUUCAGAGAAGAGCGCUAUCAGAAUAAUCGUCGCAAGCUUCAGAUCCUGCAACUGCGGGGCCCCAGCAUCAUCUGCAUCGGCGUUCCAGAUACACCGGCGGCACCAGCCGCGCGAUCAACAGUGAGCAGCAAUAGCGACAAAAGGAGUAGGUGACAGAUUAAGGUAGGGUAGCUGUAAGUCCUUCCAGUAAUGCGAAUAAUAUAUGAAGAUGUUUCGCUACAUAUGCUUAUCAUUUGUUGAUGCCUCCGUUCCCCUAUUGGCUGGGCGAGAAGCUUAAAAACGAACAGAGCGCCAUAGCCGGGCACAAACCAAAGAAACCAUAGCGCUCGUCCACCCAAUUGCGUGGCUCGGCUAUUUAGAAUUUAGCGAGUGGAGUGUAGAUUU